This is a non-coding RNA of Xylariaceae sp. FL0594, 86 nucleotides long. NCBI's taxonomy places the organism in Eukaryota, Fungi, Ascomycota, Sordariomycetes, Xylariales, Xylariaceae. The record is from the annotation of a GenBank genome assembly.
GGCCUCGUGGCCUAAUGGCUAGGGCGCUAGAUUUCGGUUUCCAUACAGUUCUCUAGAGAUUGUCGGUUCGAGUCCGGCCGAGGUCG